UUGUGCGGGGGUGGCCUAAUACAUGCAAGUCGAGCGGCAGCGGAAAGUAGCUUGCUACUUUGCCGGCGAGCGGCGGACGGGUGAGUAAUGUCUGGGAAACUGCCUGAUGGAGGGGGAUAACUACUGGAAACGGUAGCUAAUACCGCAUAACGUCGCAAGACCAAAGAGGGGGACCUUCGGGCCUCUUGCCAUCAGAUGUGCCCAGAUGGGAUUAGCUAGUAGGUGGGGUAAUGGCUCACCUAGGCGACGAUCCCUAGCUGGUCUGAGAGGAUGACCAGCCACACUGGAACUGAGACACGGUCCAGACUCCUACGGGAGGCAGCAGUGGGGAAUAUUGCACAAUGGGCGCAAGCCUGAUGCAGCCAUGCCGCGUGUAUGAAGAAGGCCUUCGGGUUGUAAAGUACUUUCAGCGAGGAGGAAGGCAUUGUGGUUAAUAACCGCAGUGAUUGACGUUACUCGCAGAAGAAGCACCGGCUAACUCCGUGCCAGCAGCCGCGGUAAUACGGAGGGUGCAAGCGUUAAUCGGAAUUACUGGGCGUAAAGCGCACGCAGGCGGUUUGUUAAGUCAGAUGUGAAAUCCCCGGGCUCAAC
This 591-nucleotide ribosomal RNA is filed under the name bacterium VF24(2010). Its description in RNAcentral is "bacterial SSU rRNA". It matches the Rfam family "Bacterial small subunit ribosomal RNA", at positions 29 to 613 of the family's 1533-position model. The record is from RNAcentral.